UACUCCGAAACUGCAUUCGAUACUGGCGUGCUUGAGGACUGGAGGAGGAGACUGGAAUUUACGUGUAGCAGUGAAAUGCGUAGAUAUCGUAAGGAAGACCAGUGGCGAAGGCGGGUCUCUGGACAGUUCCUGACACUGAGACACGAAGGCCAGGGGAGCAAACGGGAUUAGAUACCCCGGUAGUCCUGGCAGUAAACGGUGCACGUUUGGUGUGGGAGGAUUCGACCCCUUCUGCGCCGGAGCCAACGCGUUAAACGUGCCGCCUGGGGAGUACGGUCGCAAGAUUAAAACUCAAAGAAAUUGACGGGGGCCCGCACAAGCGGUGGAGUAUGUGGCUCAAUUCGAUGCAACGCGAAGAACCUUACCAGGCCUUGACAUGCAUCUCUAAGUUGGUGAAAGCCAGCGAGUCUCGAAAGAGACAAUUUGCACAGGUGCUGCAUGGCUGUCGUCAGCUCGUGUCGUGAGAUGUUGUCUAAGUCCCGCAAUGAGCGCAAUCCCUGUGAACUGUGCCCACGGAACCGAGAGGUUCCACCACUCUGUUCAGUCUGCCUUGCUUAAACGAGGAGGAAGGUGGGGACGACGUCAAGUCAGUAUGGCCCUUUCGGCCUGGGCUGCACACGUACUACAAUGCCCAGUACAGAGCGAUCCAAUACCGCGAGGUGGAGGAAAUCACUUAAAACUGGGCCCAGUUCGGAUUGGAGGCUGCAAUUCGCCUCCAUGAAGCCGGAAUCGCUAGUAAUGGCGCAUCAGCUACGGCGCCGUGAAUACGUUCCCGGGCCUUGUACACACCGCCCGUCACAUCAUGAAAGCCGUUUGUACUAGAAGUCGCCACACUAACCCGCAAGGGAGGGAGGCGCCUAAGGUAUGGUCGGUGAUUGGGGUGAAGUGGUAACAAGUAACCAAGCCGAAUGCGCGAGUACCAUC
Molecule: ribosomal RNA, 924 nt
Filed under: uncultured soil bacterium
Lineage: Bacteria
Description: SSU rRNA
Rfam family: Bacterial small subunit ribosomal RNA
Source: RNAcentral